UUGGGUACCAGCUGGUGACUCUGGCAAGUUGCUGACCUCUGGGCUCCUCCUGCGGACGCGGUGUGUGCGAUCAUAAUAGAUGAGACUCUCCGCCUCGGAGGGGUUCCGCUGCACCGGCCCGCGGUGCCGGGCCACGUGAGCAGGGGCCGAGCGGGCUCCAGCCCGCGGCGGGCCCAGGUGGCUGGCACAGGGACCUCACCGCAUCGCGGUAGGGUCUCAGGGUCCAAGGCAGGUGCGGCUGUUCUCGGAAACCUGGCAACCCAUUGCGUAGAAUGUGGCGUUGGACUUUUAUCAGAACCUGGUGAGGAAAAUUGGUGAUGGGGAAGUUAGGGGCUUGCUGGCAGCUUGGGAAGACCAAGAAUGGUGACGACCCAUUCAAAAGCAUCUGUUCAGAUGGACAAAGCAGUUCUCAAAGGAAGGAUGACCCCAGAGCAAGACAAGACCCCCUGCCCCAUGCCCUCAUCUCAGGGCCUCUGGCUCUGCAUGCAGGGUAACAGGUAUUAUAUUCCACAUGCACCAUCAUUUGGAGAAGAAGAUACUUCCUUUACAAGAUCGUGUCUCUUUGCUUUUCUGUAUCUGUUACUGUGACUUGGUUUGAAAAGUGUUCGUUCCUAUAAAAAGACCCCAUAGGCCAGAUGCAGUGGUGGCAGUGAAGGAGGGGAGUUGGAAGGGUGGGAAGGACAGACGGUGAGCCUCAAGGUAUCCUGAGACCUUUGGAUAAAGCAAAAGCCCAAAUCAUAGGUGAGAGACUGCCAAGUUCCUAACCCUAAGAAGGACCAUGCCAAAACCAGAUUCAAAGGGCAAGGUGGGUUACUAACAUAAUAUAAUAAUUUAAAAAAAAAAAAGGGCAAGGUGGGGAGAACACAUUAGCGAGAUCAAUAAGGUUCGAUGCUAAGAGAAUCUAUUACAGUAUGUAGUGGAGAAUGGGAAGUGCAGGGAGUCCCCGACCAAGAUGGUCAACAGUCAAGGUGGCAGCUCAGUGCAUUACUUGGUGGAUGGUGCACGGUGAGAAGCCCAGGUGCAGAGACUGCUCAUGUCCCUGUGAGCAGGAGUUAGACUGCUCAUAUCUCUGCAGCAGGUGUCCCUAAGUGUUAUUAACACCCGCUGUGGUCAACAAAGCAGGGGAUGGGGCACAAUUGGUGAUUCUUGCAUUAUCACAACCACUAUUGUUAUGCAGAGUAAAAGACCUACUUCCUUCUUCCCUUUGAGAGAAUUUUUGCUGGGGAGCUCCAUUUCUUCAUGCUCCACUUUUUCGCCCCCACCCCUACUAAUGCUCCCACAGGGAAGAGGAGGUGUGAUGUGAUAGGUCAAGUUCUGGACUCUCGUAGGAACUUUAGAAAGAGGGCAACACCCCACACCCUUCCUGGUACUUCCUGCUUCCUCAUGGGUGCACACCACGCGGGUCCCUCUUUUGAUGUUUCAUGUGGAGCCCGUAAGCGGACAAGGCAGGCCUCAAAGAUGCAGGCAUGGCUUUGUCCUCUGGACUCCAGACUGAGUGGAUGAGUUAGGCCUACUUUCAGAUUCAGGGGAAGGAAGUAAGAAGCCGUGUCAGACUUCCAGGCCUCCACCAUGUUCCCCGACUCAGUUAUACCAAAAACACCUACACUGGGGGUUAUGGAGUAGUGGCGCUCAGAUAGUAAGAAAAUAGUCCUUUGGUUUCCAUUCUGCUCGUGUCUCCUGGCUUUAAACGCUAGCUCUCUGCUGACGAUCCUCAAAUCUCUUUCUGGGCCCUGGAUCUGUAUAUCUGACAGUCUACUUGGCAUCUCCUAAGGCUGUCUACUGAGCACGCCAUUUUUCACGCGGCCUAAAUGAGCUGCUGGUCUUCUCUUUCCAGGCCUGCCGUCGGCGCCAGCUCAGUGAAUGGCAAGUCCUUUCCUCCAGCUUUCCAGGCUGAAGACCUUGGUGUUAUUCCUGACUUCCUGCCUCUGUCCCUACUGCCCCGCCAUCAUCUCUUGUGUCAUGGAUCCCUGGGGAGCCUCCUGACUCAUCUGUCUGCUCUUUUUGCUUCUACCCUUGCCCCUGCUCCCCACACCAUGGGCCAUUCCUGACCAGAGUGGUUCUGUGAACUUGGAGGUCGGAUCAUGUCACUAAUCUGCACCAAACCCUUUAAUGCUCCUUAAUGACACCCUGUCUCUGUCUCUAUCUCUCACACACACACCUUCCUAUGACUUACACGACCCAACAAGAUCUGGCUCCCCCUUACCUCUCUGACUGUACCUUCUAUUACUUUCUUCCUCAUUUUCUCACACACUGGCCUCCUGGCUAGUCUUUGAGUGGGCCUGUCAUGCUCUUACCUCAGGGCCUUUGCACAUACUGUUGCCUUUUUCUGAAAAGCUCUUCUCAAUACCUAUGUAGUGAGCUCCUUCAUUCCAGUCAAUUCUUUACUCAGUGGGGUCUUUCUGACUACCUUCUCUGAGAUCUCAACCCUGUAACAUUUUAUAUCUCCCUUUCCUGCUUUAUUCUUUUUUCUCUCUGGAAGUUCUUUCCAUCUCACCGUUUAGAUACUUUACUGUCUUGUAUAUUGUCUGUCUCCCCAGCAAGAAAGAGAGGUGCCAGGGGGAGUGUCAGCUAUUUUGUUUACUGCUCCUUGUUAGAGUUCUGGGUACAGUAGCUGCCCCAUAAAUACCUGUUGGAAAAUAAUGAGUCAACGAAGCACGUGGAAAGGUGCUCCACCUCAUUAGUCCUGGAGGAAAUGCAAAUCAAAGCCACAACAAGAUCCCACUUCAUCCCGCUAGAAUGGUUAUUACAAAAAAGACCCACAGUCACGGGUGGCGAGCGUGGGAAGAAGCAGGGCCCCCUUACGCGGCUGGGAGAAUCGUACAACGGGGCAGCCUAUUUGUAUCACAGCGUGGCAGUCUUUAAAAGCAAAACGUCAACUUACCCUGUGACCCAGCAAUUCUACUCCCAGGUGUCUACACAAGAGAAACAAAGAAUUGUGUCUAUGCAAAGACUUGUAUGCAAAUGUUCCCAACAACGGUCUUGGUAAUCCCCCCAAAUGGAAACUCCCCAAAUGUCCAUCAGCAGGUGCCUGGCUGAGCAAAAUAUGACAUAGCCAUGCAAGGGAAUACUAGUCAGCAGUCAGAAGGUGUGAACUACAGAUACGACAUGGACGAACCCCAAACACGUGCAAAAUGAAAAUAGACACAGGGGACUGUGUGUGAAAUGUCCACAGAAGGCAAAUCUAGAGAGAAAGAACACAGAUUUGUGGU
Ailuropoda melanoleuca (giant panda) is the source of this 3209-nucleotide long non-coding RNA. RefSeq lists it as uncharacterized. NCBI's taxonomy places the organism in Eukaryota, Metazoa, Chordata, Mammalia, Carnivora, Ursidae. The record is from RefSeq and is a predicted model, not a curated record. The transcript is spliced from 3 exons.